UACGGAGGAUCCAAGCGUUGUCCGGAUUUAUUGGGUUUAAAGGGUGCGUAGGCGGACUAUUAAGUCAGUGGUGAAAGUUUGCAGCUUAACUGUAAAAUUGCCAUUGAAACUGAUAGUCUUGAGUUCAGUUGAGGUAAGCGGAAUGUGUCAUGUAGCGGUGAAAUGCUUAGAUAUGAUACAGAACACCGAUUGCGAAGGCAGCUUGCUAAACUGAUACUGACGCUGAGGCACGAAAGCAUGGGGAUCAAACAGG
RNAcentral lists this ribosomal RNA (253 nucleotides) under uncultured bacterium. RNAcentral describes it as "partial 16S ribosomal RNA". It matches the Rfam family "Bacterial small subunit ribosomal RNA", at positions 524 to 776 of the family's 1533-position model. The record is from RNAcentral.